Molecule: ribosomal RNA, 459 nt
Filed under: uncultured bacterium
Lineage: Bacteria
Description: partial 16S ribosomal RNA
Rfam family: Bacterial small subunit ribosomal RNA
Source: RNAcentral
CCUACGGGAGGCAGCAGUGAGGAAUAUUGGUCAAUGGCCGAGAGGCUGAACCAGCCAAGUCGCGUGAAGGAAGAAUGUCCUCUGGAUUGUAAACCUCUUUUUUCAGGGAGCAAAGUCACCCACGUGUGGGUGUUUGAGAGUACCUUAACAAAAAGCAUCGGCUAACUCCGUGCCAGCAGCCGCGGUAAUACGGAGGAUGCGAGCGUUAUCCGGAUUUAUUGGGGUUAAAUGGUGCGUAGGCGGGUUAUCAAGUAAGCGGGAAAAUCGUGGAGUUAAACUCCAUCCAGCCGUUGAAACUGAUGAUCUUGAGUGGGCGAGAAGUAUGCGGAAUGCGUGGUGUAGCGGUGAAAUGCAUAGAUAUCACGCAGAACUCCGAUUGCGAAGGCAGCAUACCGGAGACCGACUGACGCUGAAGCACGAAAGCGUGGGUAUCGAACAGGAUUAGAUACCCGAGUAGUC